UCCCUGUUACCAGGGCAGUCUAGCUAGAAAAAUACAACUAACUAAAAGGGUUGCGCUCGUUGAUGGACUUAACCAAACAUCUCACGACACGAGCUGACGACGGCCAUGCAACACCUGUCACCGAAUUCCUUACGGCACAAUUACCUUUCGGUAGUCUUCUCGGGAUGUCAAACCUGGGUAAGGUUCUUCGCUUACCAUCGAAUUAAACAACACGCUCCACCGCUUGUGCGGGUCCCCGUCAAUUCCUUUAUGUUUUAAGCUUGCGCUCGUAAUCCACAGGCGGGAUGCUUAACGCGUUAGCUUCGCUACUAGAGGGGUCGAUACCUCUAACAGCUAGCAUCCAUAGUUUACGGCGUGGACUAC
Molecule: unclassified non-coding RNA, 363 nt
Filed under: uncultured bacterium
Lineage: Bacteria
Description: contains 16S-23S intergenic spacer region
Source: RNAcentral